This 1017-nucleotide long non-coding RNA is filed under the name Lupinus angustifolius (narrow-leaved blue lupine). RNAcentral's name for it is "long non-coding RNA (LANG_LNC001959)". The record is from RNAcentral. Lineage: Eukaryota; Viridiplantae; Streptophyta; Magnoliopsida; Fabales; Fabaceae.
GCUUAUAAAAAUAGAGAGACACAAUAUUCUAUGGGAGGCUCCAAUAUCAAAAAAUAAUACCCAGAUCAACUAACACCUCCCUCACACAAUCAUCCAUUAAAGCAAAUCCUAAACAACCAGAAUUUUUAUACAUAAGCAAAUCUUAUAAGUAGGGAGCCAACAAGGUGAAUACGCAUAAACAAAGAAGAGGGGGUGAGGGGCUAAGGAGAGAAUAUGAUAACAUUGUGAGUCCAACGAUAAGGAGAAGGACCAAAUAUAGGCAAACCAUCAGGUUAGUAACACAUCCCAUGUUAACAAACAUUCUUAAACUGAAAUACAUCUUUAUUCAUUUCUUAUAAAAUACAUAUUAUAAUAACAUCUACAUAAACACAUUUUCAUUACUAAAUCAAAGCCAACACCCUCCAUAAACAUUAAGCUAAUUGGUAAAUAAAAAGGACUUGCUAUUAAGAGAUAUCCUUUACAAACCAGAAGCUUUGCUAGCCUUCACUAACGCUGCAAAACUGGAACAUCCAUCCUUGUCCUCCAUUACCACCAUCGAGAAAAGCCAUAAGCUUCGCCGGAGACAUACCAGGAACCUGCUAUUACGGGAAAGGAGAAGACAUUGAACCUAGAAGAGAUGAGGUUUGGAUACGUGAAGAGACCUUACCUCUCUAACUGUCGGAGUCGCGGAGACGCUGCCUCCCUCGGCCAAGCCGCGUCCCAGCGAUAGUCCCUAUCGCGGGUCUGGCCACCUAGGUUGGGGGGUUCUAAACCUAUACCCCACUCCUUGCAAACACCACGAUGCACCAACACCAUGAUUCGCCGUCGCCGUUCUCCUUCCUCAAUCUGGACUGGUUGUCGCCGUUGGAGAUGAGGGUGUAGGGAUGAAGAUAAGAGGUGGGGAAUGAGAUUAGGGAUUUACCCCCCUUUUUAGAAUAUGGUCGUGUACCACUUUUUCUUCAAUCUGGUCAUCCUUUUUUUUACUUAUUUAUUUACCUUAUACUCUUAAUUGUUAGACUCUGUUAGUCUGUUCCUUUG